CGCCUUCUGAUAAAAUAUAGAAGGUCCAGCCUGCCCAGUGACAAAGUUAAACGGCCGCGGUACCCUAACCGUGCGAAGGUAGCGCAAUCACUUGUUCUUUAAAUAAGGACUAGUAUGAACGGCAUCACGAGGAUUAUACUGUCUCCCCCUUUUAAUCAGUGAAACUGAUCUCCCCGUGAAGAAGCGGGGAUUAUUAUAUAAGACGAGAAGACCCUAUGGAGCUUUAAACUUAGCACCACAUACCUUAAGUAAUUUCAUAAUAAACAGGUAAAGCUUGUGUACUAGUUUUCGGUUGGGGUGACCACGGAGCAAAACAAAACCUCCAUGUUGAAAAGAUACUUUUCUUAAUCCAAGAACAACAUUUCAAAGAAUCAGAAAACUGACAUAAUUGAUCCAAACAAUUUUGAUCAACGAACCAAGUUACCCUAGGGAUAACAGCGCAAUCCACUUCAAGAGCUCAUAUCGACAAGUGGGUUUACGACCUCGAUGUUGGAUCAGGAUAUCCCAGUGGUGCAGCCGCUACUAAAGGUUCGUUUGUUCAACGAUUAAAACCCU
Molecule: ribosomal RNA, 555 nt
Filed under: Chiasmocleis bassleri (Bassler's humming frog)
Lineage: Eukaryota; Metazoa; Chordata; Amphibia; Anura; Microhylidae
Description: Syncope bassleri (Bassler's humming frog) partial 16S ribosomal RNA
Rfam family: Bacterial large subunit ribosomal RNA
Source: RNAcentral